CCUUAUCCCUCCCUUGGCUUCCACUCUUCCGUUCUGCUGGCUUACUUUCCGCGUCCACUGUCUCACCCCUGAUAUUUUUUAACCUUGAAGAGAGCGAGGUAGUGAACAGCUGGCUUAAGUCUUGUUACUUUCUUAAAAAUAUUAAGAUGUAAAGGUUAGAAGAUAUAAAGUCCUGUCUGAUUGCCUUUUGCCGCUCUGCUUGUUUUAUUACUGCUCAGCGAGAUGUGCUCUUUCCGUGGAAACUAUGUUCAAAGCUUACAGGAGCAACGGAAGUAUUUUUACUCUGAGGAGUGAUCUAUAUGCUUCCAAUAAAUAUCCCCUUUUAAAGUUUACUCUCAAAAAGCUUGUAAGGAUACUCGUUACCAGGCACUAUCAAUACUUUUUUUUUAAAACCUGAUUUUAAGAAUAAAU
Molecule: long non-coding RNA, 411 nt
Organism: Zophobas morio
Lineage: Eukaryota; Metazoa; Arthropoda; Insecta; Coleoptera; Tenebrionidae
Exons: 4
Source: RefSeq, a predicted model, not a curated record